This 425-nucleotide ribosomal RNA is filed under the name uncultured bacterium. RNAcentral describes it as "bacterial SSU rRNA". It matches the Rfam family "Bacterial small subunit ribosomal RNA", at positions 354 to 796 of the family's 1533-position model. The record is from RNAcentral.
GUGGGGAAUCUUGGACAAUGGGCGCAAGCCUGAUCCAGCCAUGCCGCGUGAGUGAAGAAGGCCUUAGGGUUGUAAAGCUCUUUCGGCGGGGACGAUAAUGACGGUACCCGCAGAAGAAGCCCCGGCUAACUCCGUGCCAGCAGCCGCGGUAAUACGGAGGGGGCUAGCGUUGUUCGGAAUUACUGGGCGUAAAGCGCACGUAGGCGGACUGUUAAGUCGGGGGUGAAAUCCUGGGGCUCAACCUCAGAAUUGCCUCCGAUACUGGCAGUCUCGAGUGCGGGAGAGGUGAGUGGAAUUCCCAGUGUAGAGGUGAAAUUCGUAGAUAUUGGGAAGAACACCAGUGGCGAAGGCGGCUCACUGGCCCGUAACUGACGCUGAGGUGCGAAAGCGUGGGGAGCAAACAGGAUUAGAAACCCUUGUAGUCC